This 728-nucleotide ribosomal RNA is filed under the name Tistrella mobilis. Its description in RNAcentral is "bacterial SSU rRNA". It matches the Rfam family "Bacterial small subunit ribosomal RNA", at positions 1 to 765 of the family's 1533-position model. The record is from RNAcentral. Lineage: Bacteria; Pseudomonadati; Pseudomonadota; Alphaproteobacteria; Geminicoccales; Geminicoccaceae.
UCCAGAGUUUUGAUCAUGGCUCAGAACGAACGCUGGCGGCAUGCCUAACACAUGCAAGUCGAACGGGGUCGGGACUUCGGUUCCGGCUUACGUGGCGCACGGGUGAGUAACACGUGGGAAUCUGCCCAUCUAUGGGGAAUAACUGCGGGAAACUGCAGCUAAUACCGCAUACGCCCUUCGGGGGAAAGGCUUCGGCCGUAGAUGGAUGAGCCCGCGUCCGAUUAGCUAGUUGGUGGGGUAACGGCCUACCAAGGCGACGAUCGGUAGCUGGUCUGAGAGGAUGAUCAGCCACACUGGGACUGAGACACGGCCCAGACUCCUACGGGAGGCAGCAGUGGGGAAUAUUGGACAAUGGGCGAAAGCCUGAUCCAGCAAUGCCGCGUGAGUGAUGAAGGUCUUCGGAUUGUAAAGCUCUUUCGACGGGGAAGAUAAUGACGGUACCCGUAGAAGAAGCCCCGGCUAACUUCGUGCCAGCAGCCGCGGUAAUACGAAGGGGGCUAGCGUUGUUCGGAUUUACUGGGCGUAAAGCGUGCGUAGGCGGCUUAUCAAGUCAGAAGUGAAAGCCCGGGGCUCAACUCCGGAACUGCUUUUGAGACUGGUAGGCUGGAGUUCGGGAGAGGGUAGUGGAAUUCCCAGUGUAGAGGUGAAAUUCGUAGAUAUUGGGAAGAACACCGGUGGCGAAGGCGGCUGCCUGGCCCGAAACUGACGCUGAGGCACGAAAGCGUGGG